RNAcentral lists this ribosomal RNA (814 nucleotides) under uncultured Sphingobacteriia bacterium. RNAcentral's name for it is "bacterial SSU rRNA". It matches the Rfam family "Bacterial small subunit ribosomal RNA", at positions 70 to 884 of the family's 1533-position model. Lineage: Bacteria; Pseudomonadati; Bacteroidota; Sphingobacteriia. The record is from RNAcentral.
UAACGCGGUAGCAAUACUGGCGACGACCGGCGCACGGGUGCGUAACGCGUAUGCAAUUUGCCCAUAACUGGGGGAUAGCCCGGAGAAAUCCGGAUUAAUACCCUAUAGUAUGUAGAGGAGGCAUCUCCAUUACGUUAAAGAUUUAUCGGUUAUGGAUGAGCAUGCGUCUGAUUAGCUAGUUGGUAAGGUAAUGGCUUACCAAGGCUACGAUCAGUAGGGGGUCUGAGAGGAUGAUCCCCCACACUGGUACUGAGAUACGGACCAGACUCCUACGGGAGGCAGCAGUAGGGAAUAUUGGGCAAUGGACGAGAGUCUGACCCAGCCAUGCCGCGUGUAGGAAGAAGGCUUUCUGAGUUGUAAACUACUUUUGAUCGGGAACAAAAGAUCCUUGCGAGGAGCAUUGAGUGUACCGAUAGAAUAAGCACCGGCUAACUCCGUGCCAGCAGCCGCGGUAAUACGGAGGGUGCAAGCGUUGUCCGGAUUUAUUGGGUUUAAAGGGUGCGUAGGCGGCUAAUUAAGUCAGCGGUGAAAUUCCAGAGCUCAACUCUGCGAACUGCCAUUGAUACUGGUUGGCUUGAGUACAGAUGAGGUAGGCGGAAUUGACAGUGUAGCGGUGAAAUGCUUAGAUAUUGUCAAGAACACCUAUUGCGAAGGCAGCUUACUAAACUGUAACUGACGCUGAGGCACGAAAGCGUGGGGAUCAAACAGGAUUAGAUACCCUGGUAGUCCACGCCGUAAACGAUGAUUACUCGAUGUGUGCGAUAGACAGUACGCGUCCAAGCGAAAGCGUUAAGUAAUCCACCUGGGGAGUACG